UACGUAGGUGGCAAGCGUUGUCCGGAUUGACUGGGCGUAAAGCGCACGCAGGCGGACGCGCGCGUGGGGUGUGAAAUCUGGCCGCUUAACGGCCAGGCGCCAUCCCAUACGGCGCGUCUGGAGCAAUGCAGAGGUCGGUGGAAUUGCCGGUGUAGUGGUGAAAUGCGUAGAGAUCGGCAGGAACACCCAGGGGGAAACCAGCCGACUGGGCAUUUGCUGACGCUGAGGUGCGAGAGCGUGGGGAGCGAACCGG
RNAcentral lists this ribosomal RNA (253 nucleotides) under uncultured bacterium. RNAcentral describes it as "partial 16S ribosomal RNA". It matches the Rfam family "Bacterial small subunit ribosomal RNA", at positions 524 to 776 of the family's 1533-position model. The record is from RNAcentral.